This 501-nucleotide ribosomal RNA is filed under the name uncultured bacterium. RNAcentral's name for it is "partial 16S ribosomal RNA". It matches the Rfam family "Bacterial small subunit ribosomal RNA", at positions 30 to 523 of the family's 1533-position model. The record is from RNAcentral.
AUUGAACGCUGGCGGCAGGCUUAACACAUGCAAGUCGAGCGGGGAAAGGUAGCUUGCUACCUGACCUAGCGGCGGACGGGUGAGUAAUGCUUAGGAAUCUGCCUAUUAGUGGGGGACAACAUUCCGAAAGGAAUGCUAAUACCGCAUACGCCCUACGGGGGAAAGCAGGGGAUCUUCGGACCUUGCGCUAAUAGAUGAGCCUAAGUCAGAUUAGCGAGUUGGUGGGGUAAAGGCCUACCAAGGCGACGAUCUGGAGCGGGUCUGAGAGGAUGAUCCGCCACACUGGGACUGAGACACGGCCCAGACUCCUACGGGAGGCAGCAGUGGGGAAUAUUGGACAAUGGGCGAAAGCCUGAUCCAGCCAUGCCGCGUGUGUGAAGAAGGCCUUUUGGUUGUAAAGCACUUUAAGCGAGGAGGAGGCUACUUGGAUUAAUACUCUAGGAUAGUGGACGUUACUCGCAGAAUAAGCACCGGCUAACUCUGUGCCAGCAGCCGCCGUAA